Molecule: ribosomal RNA, 463 nt
Filed under: uncultured bacterium
Lineage: Bacteria
Description: bacterial SSU rRNA
Rfam family: Bacterial small subunit ribosomal RNA
Source: RNAcentral
GAUGAACGCUGGCGGCGUGCUUAACACAUGCAAGUCGAACGAAGCACUUAAUGAGAUUUCUUCGGAUUGAUUAUUUUGUGACUGAGUGGCGGACGGGUGAGUAACGCGUGGGUAACCUGCCCCAGACCGGGGGAUAACAGUCGGAAACGACUGCUAAUACCGCAUAAGCGCACAGUGCCGCAUGGCACGGUGUGAAAAACUCCGGUGGUCUGGGAUGGACCCGCGUCCGAUUAGUUAGUUGGUGGGGUAACGGCCCACCAAGACUGCGAUCGGUAGCCGACCUGAGAGGGUGACCGGCCACAUUGGGGACUGAGACACGGCCCAGACUCCUACGGGAGGCAGCAGUGGGGGAAUAUUGCACAAUGGAGGAAACUCUGAUGCAGCGACGCCGCGUGAGCGAAGAAGUAUUUCGGUAUGUAAAGCUCUGUCAGCAGGGAAGAUAAUGACGGUACCUGACCAAGAA